GAUGAACGCUGGCGGCGUGCCUAAUACAUGCAAGUCGAGCGAACAGACGAGGAGCUUGCUCCUCUGACGUUAGCGGCGGACGGGUGAGUAACACGUGUAUAACCUCCCUAUAAGACUGGGAUAAAUUCGGGAAACCGGAGCUAAUACCGGAUAUUAUAUUGAACCGCAUGGUUCAAUAGUGAAAGACGGUUUUGCUGUCACUUAUAGAUGGAUCCGCGCCGCAUUAGCUAGUUGGUAAGGUAACGGCUUACCAAGGCAACGAUGCGUAGCCGACCUGAUAGGGUGAUCGGCCACACAGGAACUGAGAAACGGUCAAGACUCCGAGGGGGGGCAGCAGUAGGGAAUCUUCGGCAAUGAGCAAAAGCCUGACGGGGCAACGCAGCGUGAGUGAUGAAGGUCUUCGGAUCGUAAAACUCUGUUAUUAGGGAAGAAUAAAUGUGUAAGUAACUAUGCACGUCUUGACGGUACCUAAUCAGAAAGCCACGGCUAACUACGUG
Molecule: ribosomal RNA, 497 nt
Filed under: uncultured bacterium
Lineage: Bacteria
Description: partial 16S ribosomal RNA
Rfam family: Bacterial small subunit ribosomal RNA
Source: RNAcentral